ACGGGAGGCAGCAGUGAGGAAUAUUGGUCAAUGGGCGCAAGCCUGAACCAGCCAUGCCGCGUGCAGGAUGACGGCUCUAUGAGUUGUAAACUGCUUUUGUAUGAGGGUAAAGUCUGAUUUGCGAAUCAGUUUGAAAGUAUCAUACGAAUAAGGAUCGGCUAACUCCGUGCCAGCAGCCGCGGUAAUACGGAGGAUUCGAGCGUUAUCCGGAUUUAUUGGGUUUAAAGGGUGCGUAGGCGGUUUUAUAAGUUAGCCGUGAAAUAAUAGGGCUUAACCCUAUAUGUGCGGUUGAUACUGUAGGACUGGAGAUUAUGUGCAGUGGGCGGAAUGUGUGGUGUAGCGGUGAAAUGCUUAGAUAUCACACAGAACACCGAUUGCGAAGGCAGCUCACUAAUAUACAUCUGACGCUGAGGCACGAAAGCGUGGGGAUCAAACAGGAUUAGAUACCCUGGUA
Molecule: ribosomal RNA, 454 nt
Filed under: uncultured Rikenellaceae bacterium
Lineage: Bacteria; Pseudomonadati; Bacteroidota; Bacteroidia; Bacteroidales; Rikenellaceae
Also listed under: 1 other name
Description: partial 16S ribosomal RNA
Rfam family: Bacterial small subunit ribosomal RNA
Source: RNAcentral